ACAGCGCCGCCAGCGACUCCCACAGCAGAGUCCCACCGCCACAGGCCUCGGGCCAGCAGCCAGGAGCUGCCACCCCCAGCCCCCAUCCUGGGGCCCCCAGCAGCCCCCAACCCCGCCCCACGGGCCCGGUGCCAUGAGUGAGCUGGAGCAAUUGAGACAGGAGGCCGAGCAGCUCCGGAACCAGAUCCGGGAUGCCCGAAAAGCAUGUGGGGACUCAACACUGACCCAGAUCACAGCUGGGCUGGACCCAGUGGGGAGAAUCCAGAUGAGGACCCGGAGGACCCUUCAUGGGCAUCUGGCAAAGAUCUAUGCCAUGCACUGGGGGACCGACUCAAGGCUGCUGGUCAGUGCCUCCCAGGAUGGGAAGCUCAUCAUCUGGGACAGCUACACCACCAACAAAGUUCAUGCCAUCCCGCUACACUCCUCCCGGGUCAUGACCUGUGCCUACGCGCCCUCAGGGAACUUUGUGGCCUGUGGGGGUUUGGACAACAUCUGCUCCAUCUACAGCCUCAAGACCCGCGAGGGCAAUGUCAGGGUCAGCCGGGAGCUGCCUGGCCACACUGGGUAUGUGUCGUGCUGCCGCUUCCUGGAUGACAACCAAAUCAUCACCAGCUCUGGGGAUACCACCUAUGCCCUGUGGGACAUUGAGACAGGCCAGCAGACAGUGGGUUUUGCUGGACACAGUAGGGAUGUGAUGUCCCUGUCCCUGGCCCCUGAUGGCCGCACGUUUGUGUCAGGCGCCUGUGUGUGACGCCUCUAUCAAGCUGUGGGACGUUCGGGAUUCCAUGUGCCAACAGACCUUCAUUGGCCACGAAUCCGACAUCAACGUGGUGGCUUUCUUCCCCAACGGCUACACCUUCACCACUGGCUCUGAUGACGCCACGUGCCGCCUCUUUGACCUGCGGGCCGAUCAGGAGCUCCUCAUGUACUCCCACGACAACAUCAUCUAUGGCAUCACCUCUGUUGCCUUCUCUCGCAGCGGCCGGCUGCUGCUUGCUGGCCACAACGACUUCAACUGCAACAUCUGGGAUGCCAUGAAGGGCGACCGUGCAGGGGUCCUCGAUGGCCACGACAACCGUGUGAGCUGUCUCGGGGUCACUGAUGAUGGCAUGGCUGUGGCCAUGAGCUCCUGGGACUCCUUCCUCAAGAUCUGGAACUAAUGGCCCCAACCCUGCUGGGCCCAGGCCAGGAGGGACCCUGCCCACGCCCACACUACACUCCGGGGCUGUGGAGCUGGGGGCACUCCCAGCCCCCUUCCCUGGGCCACAGGGCCUUGGGUCCCUGCCCUCCCACCCAAGUUUUGUUCCUCCCAGGGCCCCCACUGUGGAGAUAAGGAGAUGGAAUGGGGGAAGAGGAGGGGCAGGAGGCCCUCAUCCUUCUGCUGCCCUGGGGUUAGGGCCUCACCCCUCUGGAGGGCCAGAGGCAGGAGGUAAAAACCCCAGGGGCUGGCUUUUUAAAAACUGGUUUUAUUUUAAUUUUUAUUAUAUUUUCAGUUUUUCCAUAAAGCAGCCAAUUCCAACUCUGAAAAAAAAA
This is an RNA transcript of Sapajus apella (tufted capuchin), 1533 nucleotides long. It is a transcript of the gene named guanine nucleotide-binding protein G(I)/G(S)/G(T) subunit beta-2 pseudogene, with no coding region annotated. Lineage: Eukaryota; Metazoa; Chordata; Mammalia; Primates; Cebidae. The record is from RefSeq and is a predicted model, not a curated record. The transcript has a single exon.